Molecule: RNA transcript, 1859 nt
Organism: Nymphaea colorata (pocket water lily)
Lineage: Eukaryota; Viridiplantae; Streptophyta; Magnoliopsida; Nymphaeales; Nymphaeaceae
Exons: 8
Source: RefSeq, a predicted model, not a curated record
CGUAGCAGUUGUCAGUCGUAUUCUUAUAUUCUUGAUUUUCUAUCGUCGAAUAUGCUUUUUAGUUUUAAGUAGACAGGAUGCAACAUUUCCAGCACUAACGCACAUCAGAAUUUCAAAGUUGAGCAUACUGGUAUAAAGGACUUGCUUUCUAUCCAAACAAAUGGUAGAGUUGAAAGCGAAAUCUCGCAAGAACGAGAGUAAUACUGACGCCGUAGAGACACCUACACCAACUUUCUCGCAUUGGUCUGGCCCCUUCUUCUUUGUUACAUGCGACACGUAUACACCAACUUUCUCCCGGAAAAGCACGGUUUUUAGAUCAACGUUGUUUUCCCUCUCCCUUUCAUGUGAUUGCGACUUUUGUCAUUCAUCGCGUGGGGCAGGCUCUUUGAAGCAAACAGGUUUGGCGGGAACCGGAACAGUCGUCCACUUCAUUCUUUGAUUCAAAUAACACCAACCAGAUAGAAAUGAGAGGAGGGACUCAGGGAUGUCUCUGGGACCUUCCACCAGAAAGGUUUGUACUAUGCGUAAAAUUUUUCUAGCGAUCACUCUUUCCGACCGUCCGAUAUACUUGUGAAAUGGUGGCCAAUCGCCACGCCCCAUCGUCUGUGGUCUUGAUCCUUUUCCUUUCCAAAGUUCUUCUUCUUCUUUUUUUUUUUUUUUGAGGUCCAAAACGGGUGUGUGUUCUGAAUUGUGAAAAGAAGAAGCUCAUUACUCCCAACAUCUGCUCGUUGCUGCACUAGUUAAAAGGCCUGCUCUGCUGCGUGGACGUCGCUGCGCCCCUCGUAGCAACCUCCUUUUCUUUCCUGUAUUCCAUUUCCUUCCGCCUACUGAGCCUCCUUUUUGCCUUGGUUAGAGGAUCCGAGCUCUCCCCACGGCUUCAUGGACAGGAACAGAGACUUGCAAGAUAUAGUGGCAAUGCAGUUGACAUCUCCUUUUUCAGGUCUACAGAGAUCUAGAACAUGGAGACUUAUGCUUGGUCUCUGCUGGUUUCUGCUUCAUCUACUGGUUAAGCUGCAUCAUCUGGUCAUACGAAUAGCUCGCAAGUUACAAUGCUAUCUUAUCCUGAUUGGGUAUAUGUUUAACUGCGUCCGACUAGGACUAAAUAAACUUCAAUCUGUAGCUAUUGUGGUGGACAGUGAAGAAGCUUUUCAGAUCUCAAAAAUAUUUAGUCUUGUUCGCUGGUUAUCAAAAUUUGGUGUGAAGCAUAUUUCUCUUUACGAUAUGGAUGGAGUUUUAAAAGAGUCAAAGAAAUUUCUCGUCAAAAAUUGGGCUGAUCUGAGUCCACGAGAGUGGAAGGAAGUUGAUAAGAAAGUUGGAUCUCGUCAUCAGAAGUCUGUGGACCUGGAAUGGUUGUCCUUUUCUGAUGGGAAGGAAGCAGUUGUUAGGGCCAGCAUGUAUAUCUGCUCCAACUACUCAAAACCUGUGACUGCUGAUGCACCACAAACCAAGCAAACGCUUACAGAGGCUGAUCUGGACAAAGCACUGAGAGCAGUUGGUUGGCUUCGUAUCUCUCUUGCCCUGUUCUUGCGGACCAGAACCUGAUCUCCUCUUCAUAUUUGGGCCUGCGAGAUGCCAUUUAGGUUUCCCAGCAUGGAGAUUGAGAUACACAGAAAUCAUACAUAUGGGGAAGCUGAGAUCGUUGUCUUUCAGUGCCGUACUGAAGGUACUCUAUGACUUUUCAAAGAAACAUCAGAAUUAUGGCAAGUAGAUGCUGGAUAAGACUUAAGGGUAUUCAUGUAUUUAAAUAUAUAAAACAUAUGAUUCUACCCUAGUGCCUGGUGCUUGUUGAAUUCAAUAUAAAUCAGAAAUUGAUUCUGUCACAUGUAGAUGAGCUUAAAUGUGUCCGGACCUUCUAUUUA